UGGGGAAUAUUGCACAAUGGGCGCAAGCCUGAUGCAGCCAUGCCGCAUGUGUGAAGAAGGCCUUCGGGUUGUAAAGCACUUUCAGCGGGGAGGAAGGCGGUGAGGUUAAUAACCUCACCGAUUGACGUUACCCGCAGAAGAAGCACCGGCUAACUCCGUGCCAGCAGCCGCGGUAAUACGGAGGGUGCAAGCGUUAAUCGGAAUUACUGGGCGUAAAGCGCACGCAGGCGGUCUGUCAAGUCGGAUGUGAAAUCCCCGGGCUCAACCUGGGAACUGCAUUCGAAACUGGCAGGCUAGAGUCUUGUAGAGGGGGGUAGAAUUCCAGGUGUAGCGGUGAAAUGCGUAGAGAUCUGGAGGAAUACCGGUGGCGAAGGCGGCCCCCUGGACAAAGACUGACGCUCAGGUGCGAAAGCGUGGGGAGCAAACAGG
This 429-nucleotide ribosomal RNA is filed under the name Chloroflexota bacterium. RNAcentral's name for it is "Chloroflexi bacterium partial 16S ribosomal RNA". It matches the Rfam family "Bacterial small subunit ribosomal RNA", at positions 355 to 776 of the family's 1533-position model. Lineage: Bacteria; Bacillati; Chloroflexota. The record is from RNAcentral.